GGCUGGUGGACGUUUUGCCACAUGAAGGUGGGUACGCACUGGCCAAUAUAUCGGCCGUUCUCUUGAACGGUGGUUAUAUCGUGGGUCCGUUGGCCAGUGUGUACAGACAAUAUGUCUGUGAACUCCGUCGUUCACUGACAUAUCGUGUCGGCCCCGCAGCACAGCCGACGGCCAAUAUAUCUACUGAUAUAUUGGCGCAUCGCUGUGUGUGUAUGGGCGGUCGGUCGACCGCCCGUACACAUGCUGCGGCAGCCAGCGGUGAUUGACAGCUGAACUGGGCGGGCGUGUGUGUACACGCCCGUCCAGUCCAUGACGUCAGUCCCCGACGGAUCGGGCAGCGUGUAUGCUCAACACACUGCCCGAUCCGUCCAUAGAUAUAUCUGCCGAUCAAUUGAUCGGCAGAUAUAUCUACCAGUGUGUACCCACCUUCACUCUGAAACUAAGCAACCGAUCACAAUGCCAAUAGGACAGAUCUCUACACACUCUGUGUUUCAUGUGGUCACUAUGGUGAUGGGUUUGGUGCGGACGUGACGGCUUUCAGCCGCGACGUCAUCAGACAGCGUCCCGCCUCGGUGUCCUGCGCUGGCGCCCCGGCGGGCGGGAGAAAUGUUCACAUCGGUGGGGAUAUAAGACACAGAAAAAAGAAAACCCUGAUACAGGAAUGAAGGAAGCAUUGUUGAUGCGUUUGCCCUGGGAGCGACAUUAUACGAUAGUGUUACAAGAACAGGAAUUACAUCGGUAC
Pseudophryne corroboree (corroboree frog) is the source of this 742-nucleotide long non-coding RNA. RefSeq lists it as uncharacterized. Lineage: Eukaryota; Metazoa; Chordata; Amphibia; Anura; Myobatrachidae. The record is from RefSeq and is a predicted model, not a curated record. The transcript is spliced from 3 exons.